This is a small nucleolar RNA of Misgurnus anguillicaudatus (oriental weatherfish), 96 nucleotides long. RefSeq annotates it as small nucleolar RNA U13. The record is from RefSeq and is a predicted model, not a curated record. Lineage: Eukaryota; Metazoa; Chordata; Actinopteri; Cypriniformes; Cobitidae.
AUCCUUCUGGUUCUAACAAAUGAUGAUUGGUCUUAUCACGAGUAUUCGUGACAUGUGCAGCCAACUUGUUACGCUAUGCACAUUGACCAUCUGAUC